RNAcentral lists this ribosomal RNA (865 nucleotides) under uncultured fungus. RNAcentral's name for it is "SSU rRNA". It matches the Rfam family "Eukaryotic small subunit ribosomal RNA", at positions 577 to 1471 of the family's 1831-position model. The record is from RNAcentral. Lineage: Eukaryota; Fungi.
CGGUAAUUCCAGCUCCAAUAGCGUAUAUUAAAGUUGUUGUGGUUAAAAAGCUCGUAGUCGAACCUUGGGCCUGGCUGGCCGGUCCCCCUCACCGGGUGCACUGAUCCAGCCGGGCCUUUCCCUCUGUGGAACCCCAUGGCCUUCACUGGCUGUGCGGGGGAAACAGGACUUUUACUGUGAAAAAAUUAGAGUGCUCCAGGCAGGCCUAUGCUCGAAUACAUUAGCAUGGAAUAAUAGAAUAGGACGUGUGGUUCUAUUUUGUUGGUUUCUAGGACCGCCGUAAUGAUUAAUAGGGACGGUCGGGGGCAUCAGUAUUCAGUUGUCAGAGGUGAAAUUCUUGGAUCUACUGAAGACUAACUACUGCGAAAGCAUUUGCCAAGGAUGUUUUCAUUGAUAAGGAACGAAAGUUAGGGGAUCGAAGACGAUCAGAUACCGUCGUAGUCUUAACUAUAAACUAUGCCGACUAGGGAUCGGACGAUGUUAUUAUUUGACGCGUUCGGCACCUUUCGAGAAAUCAAAGUGCUUGGGCUCCAGGGGGAGUAUGGUCGCAAGGCUGAAACUUAAAGAAAUUGACGGAAGGGCACCACCAGGGGUGGAACCUGCGGCUUAAUUUGACUCAACACGGGGAAACUCACCAGGUCCAGACACAGUGAGGAUUGACAGAUUGAGAGCUCUUUCUUGAUUCUGUGGGUGGUGGUGCAUGGCCGUUCUUAGUUGGUGGAGUGAUUUGUCUGCUUAAUUGCGAUAACGAACGAGACCUUAACCUGCUAAAUAGCCCGUACUGCUCUGGCAGUUCGCUGGCUUCUUAGAGGGACUAUCGGCUCAAGCCGAUGGAAGUUUGAGGCAAUAACAGGUCUGUGAUGCC